This 1153-nucleotide long non-coding RNA is filed under the name Homo sapiens (human). Its description in RNAcentral is "HSALNT0096972". The record is from RNAcentral. Lineage: Eukaryota; Metazoa; Chordata; Mammalia; Primates; Hominidae.
AAGUUAUUCAAGGGUGUUGUGCUGGGGAGUGAUAGAAUCAGUUUUGACUUUUAAGAAUAUCAUUCUAGAGAAUAGGUUUGAGAUUGGAAAAGCAGGAUGAGAUUCAGAACUAAAAGCUACUUAGGAGGCCAGGCAGGACUGCAGAGGAGAGGCAGCAGUAGCCUGGACUGGCCUAGCAGCAAUAGGAAUAGAAGUGGAAAGACUGAAAUCUUUGCCCUGCAACUGAUCAAAGCAGAAUUAAUAGGGACUCAUAUUUUUGAUAAUAUUCUUGGAGUGAAUUAAACAUGCAGAUUCCAUAAUUUUUGAAGGAUCUCAAGCUUUGCACCAGCCCUGAUGAAUAGAUAUCCAAAUAUUGAAUAGUUGCUAAGUGAUUAAGCAAAAAUAAAUCUGCUUUUCAAUUGAGAUUCAUUUCAGAUCACAGACUAAUGGCUACCCAUUUCACUCUGGGCAGGAGCACGGCAUUUUGUUUCUUUUAAUAAUCCAGAGUGACAAUAGGUUGGCAAAGUGGUUACGUUGGAUGCAUAUUGAAAAGAUUAUUUCAUAUUUUGAGACAGCAUGAAGGCAUUACAGCUUUUUAGUGGUGUGCCAAUUUCUCGGUGGAAAGUGGAAUUCUCUUCUCAGCCCAGUCCUCUCCAAGCCAUCUUGAGGGGAGACAAAGAACCCCAUUAUCCUGAAAUGUGCCUGUUUUGCAUCUGAGGGCCAUAUGCACAGGUAAACAACCCCAUAAAAAGUGAUGGCUUGAGCCUCAUCUUCCCCUAUAAGCGUUAGUCUGGAAGGUGAGAAGAAGCUCACUUAUUACGGUGAGGCAGAGUGAAGGAGAGAGGAGGAAAAACACAUUUAUUUGUGUGAAAGAGAAAAUGAAACAGGAAGGUUGUGAAAGCCUUUCCCAGCUAGGGGAAGCCAACAGGUUCUGAUAAGUGUGUUCUCUUCACCCAGAAGAACCGGAGGAACACCUCUCACAGACUGAGCCUAGAGUGCUGUCAUGAAACAAAAGAAACCUCUGGGAAGGGAGAAAGGGAUCAGGAGCCUGAAUGGGAUGACUUUCUGGUGGCAUCAUCUGGCAGAUAGAGUUGUCUGGCCCAGCCAUCCUCUGGUUCCUGUUCAAGUUUCUAACUCAUAGGGAUGUUUUGAAGAUUUAAUGAUACAAUGUGUU